This 10075-nucleotide long non-coding RNA is filed under the name Xyrichtys novacula (pearly razorfish). Lineage: Eukaryota; Metazoa; Chordata; Actinopteri; Labriformes; Labridae. The record is from RNAcentral.
CAUGUCUAGUCCAUCACCGUGUUCAGCACCGGCACUGUUUCAUUGAUUGUUCCCCUUUUAGACUCUAAGGGACGCUGUUGGUCAGCAAAACAUUUUCUGUGCUUCGUUGUCAUCUAGUCCACCCCACCCCCGUCUGACUACAUAAUACAGAGGACUCUGGGUUUUAUCGAGGUUUAGGUGAUGCCGUCUCAUAGAUUCUCAUAUGAAGGUUGAAAACGUGUUCUUAGGCUGCCACAGCAAGGAUUUAUAGGAACCACUUUCACCAAAACUUUUUUGGAUACACAGACACAGAUUUUUUGUUCUUUGUUGCUAUGAUGGCAGUUGCGGGAUUUGUCUUCGACAAAUGCGCAAGAUGGCGAGUAUUUCAAGGACUGCUACGGAAAUUACAAAUGCUGCUUUUCCUGCUGUUUGUUGCUAACGUGGUUGAUGGUCAGAUUCGUUAUUCUAUACCAGAGGAGAUGAAGAAAGGCUCUGUUAUCGGUAAUGUGGCUCAAGAUCUCGGGUUGGAUCUGAGAAGGCUCCGUGCAGGGCGGGCCCGUAUCGUGAGUGGAGAAAACAUCCAGUACACCGAGCUGAAGACAGACAAAGGGACUCUGGUCGUGAAUGAGAGAAUUGACCGAGAGCAGCUCUGUGGAGACACGACUCCGUGUAGCUUCAGCUUUGAGAUGAUUUUAGAGAAUCCAAUGGAGUUACACAGAAUAACUGUCGAGGUUUUGGACAUAAAUGAUCACGCUCCUGUAUUCCCUGAUAAUGAUAAGCCUAUCCGUGUUGAAAUUAGUGAAUCGGCUGCAAUCGGGGUCCGAUUUCCACUGCAGAGUGCAGACGAUUUUGAUGUCGGACAAAACGCUUUACAAGAUUACAUUUUAUCAGCCAACGACAAUUUUAUACUGAAGCAACAUGCGAAUCCAGACGGAAAUAAAUAUGUUGAAAUGGUGCUCCAGAAGCCUUUAGACCGAGAGCGACAUCCACACUUGUCGUUAAAACUGAUCGCAGUCGACGGAGGAACACCACAGAGAUCUGGUACAGUAAAUAUAGAAAUCACUGUCUUAGAUGCGAACGACAAUAUUCCGAUUUUUAACCAAUCCGUGUAUAAAGCCUCUGUGUUUGAAAACACAAUGAAGGGCACAAGAGUUAUAACAGUAAAUGCCACAGACGCUGACAGUGGUUCAAAUGGAGUCAUCACUUACAGUUUGUCCAAGAAGAAAGGCAGUGCGUCAGAUUUUUUUAUCAUAAAUGAAAAAACAGGCACUAUAUCUGUUAAUGGUCCCAUAGAUUAUGAAAAGGACAGAAAGUACGAGGUGAGAGUGGAGGCGAGGGAUCAAGGUGGAUUAACAGGAACAAGUAAAGUUAUAUUUGAUGUUUUUGAUGUUAACGACAAUGCUCCAGUGAUCAACAUUAUGUCGUUUUCUAGUCCUGUAUCUGAAGAUGCUCCUCCUGGUACAACGAUUGCUAUUUUGAAUAUCAAAGAUGCAGAUUCUGAUAAAAAUGGACAAAUAAAAUGUUCAGUGGAAGGAAAACUGCCUUUCAAAAUCGUCUCAUCUCUGACAAACUAUUAUAAUUUGAUCUCAGAUCAACAUUUUGAUAGAGAAUCUGUCUCAGAAUAUAACAUCACAAUAACAGCCACUGAUUUCGGUUCUCCGCCUCUUUCCACCUCCACAAAAUUGCACCUUAAGAUUUCUGACGUAAAUGACAACGCGCCAUUAUUUGACAAAACAAUUUACUCUGGUUACAUCGCAGAAAAUAAUCCACCUGGAGUAUCCAUAUUUACAGUCAGCGCCAGAGACUCAGAUUGGGGCCAAAACGCAAGAAUCUCGUAUAUUUUAGAGGAUACACAGGUCAGUGGAAGUCCAGUCUCGACUUAUGUGAGUUUAAACUCUGAAACUGGAGUUCUCAGCGCAGUUCGUUCUCUUGAUUAUGAGCAAAUCAAAUAUCUUCAGCUGGUAGUCAAAGCUCAGGAUGGAGGCUCCCCUCCACUCAGCAGCAACGUGACAGUGAAAAUAGUGAUCCAGGACCAGAACGACAACCCCCCUCAGGUCCUGUACCCGGUCCAGACUGGUGGCUCUCUGGUGGCUGAGAUGGUGCCUCGUGCAGCAGAUGUGGGCUAUCUGGUGACUAAAGUGGUGGCUGUGGAUGUGGACUCUGGACAGAAUGCCUGGCUGUCGUAUAAACUGCAGAAAGCCACAGACAGGGCGCUGUUUGAAGUGGGCUUACAGAAUGGAGAAAUCCGAACUAUCCGCCAAGUGAGUGAUAAAGAUGCUGUGAAACAAAGACUGACUGUGAUAGUGGAGGACAACGGGCAGCCGUCUCGUUCAGCUACAGUCAUCGUGAACGUGGCGGUGGCGGACAGCUUCCCUGAAGUGCUGUCAGAGUUCACUGACUUUACACACGACAAGGAGUACAAUGACAACCUGACUUUUUACUUAGUGCUGGCUUUGGCUGUAGUGUCCUUCCUCUUCAUCACGUGUUUGGUGGUCAUUAUAUCCGUGAAAAUCUACAGAUGGAGACAGUCUCGUAUCCUGUAUCACUCCAGUCUUCCAGUGAUUCCCUAUUAUCCUCCACGUUACUCAGACACUCUGGGCACAGGGACUCUUCCACACGUGUACAAUUACGAGGUGUGCAGGACGACUGACUCGAGAAAGAGUGACUGUAAGUUCGGCAGAGCUGGUAGUCAGAACGUGCUGAUAAUGGACCCCAGUUCUACAGGGACCAUGCAGAGGAUACAGAGUGAGAAGAGCAUCCUGGAUGAGCCAGACUCUCCACUGGAGGUAUUUAAAACUUGACAUUUGGCAUUGUUUUUUUUUAUCCAUAUAGAUUGGUUGAUUGCAGUUGACAUCUUAAACUUUACAUUUAGCACCAUGGAUAACGCCCUCUCUGACCGUAGGUCAUGGUAAUUUUUGUCAGCCCCUGAAAGCUGCUAUAUUCAAAAGAUAAUAUUUCGACGUCAUGGUUUAUUGUCAGGUCAUAACCAUUUAAAUACAUUUUGUCCCUAUCUUUAUUGGUAUUUACGUUUUUAAGUUUGAUCAGCUCGUUCUUUUUGAUUCAGUUUGAGACCCUGGAAUCUGAAACGUAAGGGAAGAAUUUUUAAGGUGUUGCAGCUGAGAGUUAAGAUCAUAUAUAACUUCUUCAACCCGUAUUUAGCUCUGCUGCGUCAUCUUCAAAUGUACAUUUCUAACUUAUGAUUAAUACCAAAGUACGUCAGUGUAAAUGAUAUAUUAUUGGUAUGAGCUUUUUAAGCUAAGUCUGACAUGAAGAAAAAUGCAACAAAUGAGAGGCCAAAUAUAAUAUGAAUCAAAAUUGGGUUACUUCAGUAAAAAAAAGAACUUAGUUUUAAACCAUGAAAACUACUUUGGCAAUAAUUUCAUGUAUAAACAGGGUAGAGUGCAGCAGAUAACGAAUAGCAUGCAAAAAUAAAGGUAAGAGGAAAGGAUAAGAAGAGUAAUAGUUCACAUGCAAGUGAAAGUAAUAGAGCUUUUGAUGAUAGUGAUUAUAACACUUCUCAAUCUUGUUAGAAAUUAUUUAUUCAUAUCGCCUUUCACAUCUUAUUCCUUAUUUUCAUUAUGAGUGAGACACCACAUAGUUUUCUAACCGCAAUGGCAGUCACCUAUUAAAUACAAAAAUACUACACUUAAAAGCAAAUUAAUGUGUUGUCGUAUAACUACAGCACUGCACUUGCAUCAUGGCAACUUGGAAGAUGUGUUCUUGAUGUUCAGAUUUCUCGCAUUGUCCAUUCAGUUGGAUUAUUUGUUUUAAAAUGUUGGCAUUUAUCGUGCUGAUUAACUGUUAAUGUGGACUUUGGUCUUUAAAACCCUUAAGGUCAAUUCUUGGUUAUCAGUAUUGAUCACCGGAUAUCGACGGACUCUUUAUUGAGUCUAAAUGACAGUACCGCGCUCUUGGCUGCACGUGAAUUUCUCAUUCUAGACUCUAAGGGACGCUGUUGGUCAGCAAAACAUUUUCGUCGUGUCGUCAUCCAGUCCAUCCUCCCUCUGAUACCAAAGGCUCUCUGUGUUUUAUGCGGUUUAAACGUUGUAGGAGAGAGCACAGUCUCACAGAUUUUCAUGUGACAUUCGAAGACGAGAUCGUAUUUUGACAGGAUAAGGAUUUAAAGGAACCAGUUUCACCAUCAUUUCCUUUUUUCUUUGUUGCUAUGAUGGCAGUUGAAGGAUCUCUCUUCGACAAAUGCGCAAGAUGGCGAGUAUUUCAAGGACUGCUACGGAAAUUACAAAUGCUUCUUUUCCUGCUGUGUGUUGCUAACGUAGUUGAUGGUCAGAUUCGUUAUUCUAUACCAGAGGAGAUGAAGAAAGGCUCUGUUAUCGGUAAUGUGGCUCAAGACCUUGGUUUGGAUCUGAGAAGGCUCCGUUCAGGGCGGGCCCGUAUCGUGAGUGGAGAAAACAUCCAGUACACCGAGCUGAAGACAGACAAAGGGACUCUGGUCGUGAAUGAGAGGAUAGACCGAGAGCAGCUCUGUGGAGACACGACUCCGUGUAGCUUCAGCUUUGAGGUGAUUUUAGAGAAUCCAAUGGAAUUACACAGAAUAACUGUCGAGGUUUUGGACAUAAAUGACCACGCUCCUGUUUUCCCUGAUAAUGAUAAGCCUAUCCGUUUCGAAAUUAGUGAAUCAGCAGUAACCGGGGUCAAAUUUCCUCUGUCGAGUGCAGAAGAUUUUGAUGUCGGACAAAACGCUUUACAAGAUUACAUUUUGUCAACCAACGACAAUUUUAUAUUGAAGCAACAUGCAAAUCCCGACGGAAGUAAAUAUGUAGAAAUGGUGCUCCAGAAGCCUUUAGACCGAGAGCGACAUCCACACUUGUCUCUGAAACUGAUCGCAGUCGACGGAGGAACACCACAGAGAUCUGGUACAGUAAAUAUAGAAAUCACUGUCUUAGAUGCGAACGACAACGCUCCAGUUUUUAACCAAUCCGUGUAUAAAGCCUCUGUGUUUGAAAACACAAUGAAGGGCACGAGAGUUAUAACAGUAAAUGCGACGGACGCUGAUAGUGGUUCAUACGGAGCCAUCACUUAUAGUUUGUCCAAGACGAAAGGCAGUGCGGCAGAUAAUUUUAUUAUUAAUGAGAAAACAGGAACUAUAUCCGUAAAUGGUCCCCUAGAUUAUGAAAAAGAAAGAAAGUACGAAAUAAGAGUGGAAGCAAGGGAUCAAGGUGGUUUAACAGAAACAAGUAAAGUUAUAUUUGAUGUUUUUGAUGUUAAUGACAAUGCUCCAGUGAUAAACAUUAUGUCGUUUUCUAGUCCUGUAUCUGAAGAUGCUCCUCCUGGUACAACGAUUGCUAUUUUGAAUAUCAAAGAUGCGGAUUCUGAUAAAAAUGGACAAAUAAAAUGUUCAGUGGAUGGGAAACUACCAUUUAAGAUUGAAUCAUCUCUGACAAACUAUUAUAAUUUGAUCUCAGAUCAACAUUUUGAUAGAGAAUCUGUCUCAGAAUAUAACAUCACAAUAACAGCCACUGAUUUCGGUUCUCCGCCUCUUUCCACCUCCACAAAAUUGCACCUAAAGAUUUCUGACGUAAAUGACAACGCGCCAUUAUUUGACAAAACAAUUUACUCUGCUUACAUCACUGAAAAUAAUCCACCUGGAGUAUCCAUAUUUACUGUCAGCGCCAGAGACUCAGAUUGGGGCCAAAACGCAAGAAUCUCGUAUAUUUUAGAGGAUACACAGGUCAGUGGAAGUCCAGUCUCGACUUAUGUGAGUCUAAACUCUGAAACUGGAGUUCUCAGCGCAGUUCGUUCUCUUGAUUAUGAGCAAAUCAAAUAUCUUCAGCUGGUAGUCAAAGCUCAGGAUGGAGGCUCCCCUCCACUCAGCAGCAACGUGACAGUGAAAAUAGUGAUCCAGGACCAGAACGACAACCCCCCUCAGGUCCUGUACCCGGUCCAGACUGGUGGCUCUCUGGUUGCAGAGAUGGUUCCUCGUGCAGCAGAUGUGGGCUAUCUGGUGACUAAAGUGGUAGCUGUGGAUGUGGACUCUGGACAGAAUGCCUGGCUGUCGUAUAAACUGCAGAAAGCCACAGACAGGGCGCUGUUUGAAGUGGGCUUACAGAAUGGAGAAAUCCGAACUAUCCGCCAAGUGAGUGAUAAAGAUGCUGUGAAACAAAGACUGACUGUGAUAGUGGAGGACAACGGGCAGCCGUCUCGUUCAGCUACAGUCAUUGUGAACGUGGCGGUGGCGGACAGCUUCCCUGAAGUGCUGUCAGAGUUCACUGACUUUACACACGACAAGGAGUACAAUGACAACCUGACUUUUUACUUAGUGCUGGCUUUGGCUGUAGUGUCCUUCCUCUUCAUCACGUGUUUGGUGGUCAUUAUAUCCGUGAAAAUCUACAGAUGGAGACAGUCUCGUAUCCUGUAUCACUCCAGUCUUCCAGUGAUUCCCUAUUAUCCUCCACGUUACUCAGACACUCUGGGCACAGGGACUCUUCCACACGUGUACAAUUACGAGGUGUGCAGGACGACUGACUCGAGAAAGAGUGACUGUAAGUUCGGCAGAGCUGGUAGUCAGAACGUGCUGAUAAUGGACCCCAGUUCUACAGGGACCAUGCAGAGGAUACAGAGUGAGAAGAGCAUCCUGGACGAACCAGACUCUCCACUGGAGGUAUCGUAACACCUGACAGAUGUCAUUGUUUUGUAUUUUUCCAUAUUGAUUGGUUGACUGGAAUUGACAUCUUAAACCUUUCAUUCAGCACCUCGGACAGCGCCCUUCACUGUCCGUGGCAUAUGUUUUUUUUUUUUUUUGUCAGCCGCUGAAAGCUGCCUUUAUUCAAGUGAUCAUAUUUCGACUUCAUAGUUUGUUACAGGUUGUAAACUUUCAAAUACAUGGUCUUCUACUCUUUUAUGUAUAUAUAUAUAUAUAUAUAUAUAUAUAUAUAUAUAUAUAUAUAUAUAUAUAUAUAUAUAUAUAUAUAUAUAUAUGUAUAUUUACGUGGUUUAUUUUUUAUCAGUUCAUGCUUUUUGAUUUAAUUGGUAACUCUGGAAUCUGAAACGUAAGGGAAGAAUUUUUCAGGUUUUGGAGCUGAGAGUUAAGAUCAUAUAUAACUUCUUCAACCCGUAUUAAAAUCUGCUUCCUUGUCUUUAAACGUACAUUGGUAACUUUUGAUUUAUACCAAAGUGCAUCAGUGUAAAUGUUAUGAGCUUUGUAAAUAAGUGUGACAUCAAUGAUUUGUGAAUGCAACAAAUGAGAGGCCAGAUAUAAUAUGAAUCAAAAUAGGGUUCCUUAAGUAAAAAAGAACUUAGUUUUAAACCAUGAAAACUACCUUGGAAAUAAUGUCAUGUAUAAACAGGGUAGAGUGCAGCAGAUAACGAAUAGCAUACAAAAAUAAAGGUAAGAGGAAAGGAUAACAAGAGUAAUAGUUCACAUGCAAGUGAAAGUAAUAGAGCUUUUGAUGAUAGUGAUUAUAACACUUCUCAAUCUUGUUAGAAAUUAUUCAUUCAUAUCGCCUUUCACAUCUUAUUCCUUAUUUUCAUCAUGAGUGAGACAUAACAUAGUUUUCUAACCGCAAUGGCAGUCACCUAUUAAAUAUAAAAAUACUACACUUAAAAGCAUAUUAAUGUGUUGUCGUGUAACCACAGCACUGUACUUGCAUCAUGGCAACUUGGAAGAUGUGUUUUUGGUGUUCAGAUUUCUCGCAUUGUCCAUUCAGUUGGAUUAUUUGUUUUAAAAUGCUGGCAUUUAUCGUGCUGAUUAACUGUUAAUGUGGACUUUGGUCUUUAAAACCCUUAAGGUCAAUUAUUGGUUAUCAGUAUUGAUCACCGGAUAUCGACGGAAUUUUUAUUCAGUCUAAAUGAUAGUACUGCGCUCAUGGCUGCACGUGAAUUUCUCAUUCUAGACUCUAAGGGACGCUGUUGGUCAGCAAAACAUUUAAGUCUUGUCGUCAUCCAGUCCAUCCUCCCUCUGAUACCAAAGGCUGUCUGUGUUUUAUGCGGUUUAAACGUUGUAGGGGAGAGCACAGUCUCACAGAUUUUCAUGUGAUAUUCGAAGAUCGUAUUUUGCCAGGACAAGGAUUUAAAGGAACCAGUUUCACCAUCAUUUCCACUGGAUACACACACUUGUUUUUUUUUUCUUUGUUGCUAUGAUGGCAGUUGAAGGAUUUCUCUUCGACAAAUGCGCAAGAUGGCGAGUAUUUCAAGGACUGCUACGGAAAUUACAAAUGCUGUUUUUCCUGCUGUGUGUUGCUAACGUGGUUGAUGGUCAGAUUCGUUAUUCUAUACCAGAGGAGAUGAAGAAAGGCUCUGUUAUCGGUAAUGUGGCUCAAGAUCUUGGUUUGGAUCUGAGAAGGCUCCGUUCAGGGCGGGCCCGUAUCGUGAGUGGAGAAAACAUCCAGUACACCGAGCUGAAGACAGACAAAGGGACUCUGGUCGUGAAUGAGAGAAUUGACCGAGAGCAGCUCUGUGGAGACACGACUCCGUGUAGCUUCAGCUUUGAGAUGAUUUUAGAGAAUCCAAUGGAACUACACAGAAUAACUGUCGAGGUUCUGGACAUAAAUGAUCACGCUCCUGUUUUCCCCAAAAUUGAUAAGCCUAUCCGCCUCGAGAUUAGUGAAUCAGCGCUGGUAGGAGUACAGUUUCCACUGCCGAGCGCAGAAGACUUAGAUGUUGGGCAAAACGCUCUACAAGAUUACAUUUUGUCAACCAACGACAAUUUUAUAUUGAAGCAACAUGCGAAUCCAGACGGAAAUAAAUAUGUAGAAAUGGUGCUCCAGAAGCCUUUAGACCGAGAGCGACAUCCACACUUGUCGUUAAAACUGAUCGCAGUCGACGGAGGAACACCACAAAGAUCUGGUACAGUAAAUAUAGAAAUCACUGUCUUAGAUGUAAAUGACAAUGUUCCGAUUUUUAACCAAUCAAUGUAUAAAGCCUCUGUGUUUGAAAACACAAUGAAGGGUGCAAGAAUUAUAACAGUAAACGCCACAGACGCUGACAGUGGUUCAAAUGGAGUCAUUAGUUAUAGUUUGUCUAAUACAAGAGGCAGUGCGGAAGAUUUGUUUAGCAUUGAUGAAAAAACAGGCGCUAUAUCUGUAAAUGGUCCUCUAGAUUAUGAAAAAGACAGAAAAUAUGAGGUGAGGGUGGAGGCUAGGGAUCAAGGUGGAUUAACAGGAACAAGUAAAGUUAUAUUUGAUGUUUUUGAUGUUAACGACAAUGCUCCAGUGAUCAACAUUAUGUCUUUUUCUAGUCCUGUAUCUGAAGAUGCUCCUCCUGGUACAACAAUAGCUAUUUUAAAUAUAAAAGAUGCGGAUUCUGAUAAAAAUGGACAAAUAAAAUGUUCAAUCGAUGGAAAACUGCCUUUCAAAAUCGUCUCAUCUCUGACAAACUAUUACAAUUUGAUCUCGGAUCAACAUUUUGAUAGAGAAUCUGUCUCAGAAUAUAACAUCACAAUAACAGCCACUGAUUUCGGUUCUCCGCCUCUUUCCACCUCCACAAAAUUGCACCUAAAGAUUUCUGACGUAAAUGACAACGCGCCAUUAUUUGAUAAAACAAUUUACUCUGCUUACAUCACAGAAAAUAAUCCACCUGGAGUAUCCAUAUUUACUGUCAGCGCGAGAGACUCAGAUUGGGGCCAAAAUGCAAGAAUCUCGUAUAUUUUAGAGGAUACACAGGUCAGUGGAAGUCCAGUCUCGACUUAUGUGAGUUUAAACUCUGAAACUGGAGUUCUCAGCGCAGUUCGUUCUCUUGAUUAUGAGCAAAUCAAAUAUCUUCAGCUGGUAGUCAAAGCUCAAGAUGGAGGCUCCCCUCCACUCAGCAGCAACGUGACAGUGAAAAUAAUGAUCCAGGACCAGAACGACAACCCUCCUCAGGUCCUGUACCCGGUCCAGACCGGUGGCUCUCUGGUUGCUGAGAUGGUUCCUCGUGCAGCAGAUGUGGGCUAUCUGGUGACUAAAGUGGUGGCUGUGGACGUGGACUCUGGACAGAAUGCCUGGCUGUCGUAUAAACUGCAGAAAGCCACAGACAGGGCGCUGUUUGAAGUGGGCUUACAGAAUGGAGAAAUCCGAACUAUCCGCCAAGUGAGUGAUAAAGAUGCUGUGAAACAAAGACUGACUGUGAUAGUGGAGGACAACGGGCAGCCGUCUCGUUCAGC